ACCUGACCUCGGCCCCGGUGGAAGUUAUCGGGUGGCAGCAGAGUUGGAAUGGGAUAGGUAGUUCCCCGUUUCCAGGACCCCAGACGGCCUGCUGGGACAGUGUAUAUGAGUCCGGAAUGGGCUGGACCAGGGUCAGGCUAGCCCAGACUUCAGAGACAAUCAAGCUUUCGAUGAUCAUGUGAUGAGGUUUCCAGUCAGUUCCAGGUGAAGACACCACUGGCCAUCAAGAAGCUACCCUCUCCCCACCAGACAGAGCAGGAUGAGAGUUCUAUAAUCCUCAAUAGGUAGGGACGGUGCUCCAAGUCAGCAUGAAGCAGUUACAGAAGAAAGACCCUCAGUCCCCCUGCCUCCCAUAAAGAUUUAUGGGGAUCACAUCUCUCAGAGGGGAAAUGCACAGGAGAACUGGGCCUGGAGGCAGAGAACCUAACCCCACCUCUCCACACCCAAGUAGUAAAGGGAUCAGAGGCUACUUUCUUUGUAACUCUCCCCAUCUUUUCUGCAUUGCAGAUGAAAAAUGAAAGUACCUCUGAUUGGCCAAGUCUUCAUGUAUAACUUUGUAACUUUACUUCAGACUCUGAUUGGUCACCUUCCACAACCAUUCAGACUGGUUAUGGGCCAUUAUUUCAUUUACAUAGGGUGUAAAGCAAAUAACCAAUGGGAAACCUCUUGAGGGUAUUUAAACUCCAGAAAAUUCUGUAACCCCUGCUCUUGAGCCACUUGCUUCAGCCCACUCCCAUUCUGUGGAGUGUAGUUUCAUUUAAAUAAAUCUGUGCUUUUCUUUC
RNAcentral lists this long non-coding RNA (782 nucleotides) under Homo sapiens (human). Its description in RNAcentral is "novel transcript". The record is from RNAcentral. Lineage: Eukaryota; Metazoa; Chordata; Mammalia; Primates; Hominidae.